GACAAAUCUCACUCUUGUUGUCUGCAAGGGAAAAACGAUGUGAAUCAAUAAGUAAUGCCGGCCUGAUAGAUGCUAAAUGAAUGAACGAGAUCAAGGAAAUUAAGAUAAUAAGCAGAAUGAACAGAUGAUCUGUUACUAGAUCCGGUGCAAUAGAAGAAGCUCCCUGUUAUAACUUGGAUGUCAUGGGGUUCAACUCUUGACAGAUGAUUCUGAGGUUAUUUUCCUUCUUUUUUGGGUUAUUGGUCAUCCCAUCAGCUUAUGCACAUCUCGACUUAU
Molecule: unclassified non-coding RNA, 276 nt
Filed under: Hevea brasiliensis (rubber tree)
Lineage: Eukaryota; Viridiplantae; Streptophyta; Magnoliopsida; Malpighiales; Euphorbiaceae
Source: RNAcentral